This 5429-nucleotide long non-coding RNA is filed under the name Homo sapiens (human). RNAcentral describes it as "HSALNT0127433". Lineage: Eukaryota; Metazoa; Chordata; Mammalia; Primates; Hominidae. The record is from RNAcentral.
CUAAGGUUAUAGGACAAGUAAAGCAGAAAACAUAUUCUAGGCAGAGAAAUGGAUGAGAACACAGAGAGGGGAAAUGAGGGCCCUUAAUUAGGGAGCAUUUCCAGUUGAUAGAGUUUAGGGCAGUAAAGAGAAAUAUUAGGAAUAAGAGAUAUAAUAAUAGUACAUGAGAUAUUUUUGGAAGUUCUCGGCUAUCAAGCUGAAUAAUCUGAACUCUAUAUAAACUGAACAAUCAUUGAAAGAUUUUGAGCUUAAGAAUUGUGUGACAGAUGCAGCCAUAAAAAAGAAUGAGAUCAUGUCUUGUGGGAAUAUGGAUGGAGCUGCAGGCUAUUAUCCUUAGCAAACAACGCAGGAACAGAAAACCUGUGUUACAGAAUACGGCUUGUUCUCACAAUUGGGAGCUAAAUGAAGAGAACUUACCAACGCAAAGACAGAAAUGACAGACAUGGGUGUACCUGAAGGUGCAGGGUGGGAGGAGGGAGAGGAGCAAGAUGACUAUUGGGUAUUGGGCUUAAUUCCUGGGUGAUGAAAUAAUCUGUACAACAAACUCCCAUGACAUGAAUUUACCUAUGUAACAUAUCCUCACAUGUACCCCCGAACCUAAAAGUUUUUUUUUAUAUUGUGUAAUCAUUACACUAUAAUGGAAUAAUAUUUUAGGAAGGUUAAUCUGAUACCGGGAUGCACUAAAGAGGCAGAAGGUGGAGGGGACACUAUAGUGCAUUCCAACAGAAAUGAGCAUGAAUUUUGAUAGAGGCAGUAGAAAGAGAAGAGGGUGGAGCCCAGGUGAUGAGUAGAGAAUACAUAAUGAAUGAAAGAGAAAGAUGAGAGGGGAAGGGUUUGUUUUCAGAGAUACAGAAUUUAGACAAGUUGAAAAUGUGACCUCGGUUUCCUGAGAGCUUGAGGUAUAACAGGCUUGGGGAACAGGCUUGCAGAAAAGUGAGAGUUAAUAUUAAGAUCUAAGAGAGCAAACAAAGGAAGAGAGGACCAAAAUAGACUCCGGGUUGGGGGGCGGGGAACCUAUUUAAGAGAAAGUGGGAUCUGUUUUUUAAAAACUGGAACAAACAAAAUGAAGAAAAAGUAGUCAGAGAUGUAGAAUGAGAGCUAGAAUAUAGAUCUUCCAAGCUAAUAGAGAAAGAAUGGUCAACCACAUCACCACUCUCCCCAACUACCCUCACCAGUCUUGAGUUUUCACUUUGUUUCAUUUCUCAAUUGGUUAAAACAGUGGUUCUCAAACCUGGCAUUUAUCACAAUCUCCUGGGAAUGAGGAUAUCAAAGAAUUCAGGUCUGGAGAUUUUGUUUGAAAUCUCAAAAUCUGUCUAUUUAAACAUUUCCCUUACAGCUCAUGGGCCACUACUUCAGAUAUAAUUUGGGUUACAGUAUUAAAGGAAAUGUGGUAAACACUAAAAUCAAAUAAACACACUUAAAAAUUAUUACACAGUUGAAGAAAAACUAUUAAAAUCUUAGGAUAUAUGUGAGAGUUGGAUAAGCAGGAGGAAAGGGGGAAGCAAUAUAGGGCUAAAUCUGUUUACAUGUAAAAGUCAGAAGUUAUUCUUUUGUCUUUGUUUUUAUAAUUAGAUGUGACAAAGAUAAAAGAAUGGAUAUUACAUUAUGAGUAUUUGUAGACUUCUCCCCUCUCCCUACUUCCUAACAAGGUUCCUGGCCUCCCUGCUGAACUCUGGGUACUAAGGUGCCAGUCUGAAAAAUGAAAGAAGAGGAAAACUGAAAGAAGCCUGGCUCAAUUAGCCUAUAUAAAAAUGAAAAUGGCUAACAACUGGGAACUUACUGUCAGGCUAAGAUAAUUGAGAACCUUACUGUAAGGUAUUUACUGUUCUAAAUACCUGACAUAUAUUAACUCAUUUAAUUCUCACAACAACCCUAUGAAUUAAAUAUUAUUACUAUUUCUAUUGUACACGUGGGAAACAGAGCUAGUAAGUGGCACAGAUGGAUUCAAACUCAGGCAGUCAAUAGCUCCAGAACUUUUGCUGGUCUUAAUCACUACCCUAUACACUUCAUAUAAUAAAUAAUGAACAGGCUGGGCACGGAGGCUCAUGCCUGUAAUCCCAGCACUUUGAGAGGCUGAGGCAGAUGGAUCACGAGGUUAGGAGUUCAAGACCAUCUUGGCCAACAUGGAGAAACUCCGUCUCUACUAAAAAUACAAAAAUUAGCUGAGCAUGGUGGUGCACCCCUGUAGUCCCAGCUACUCGGGAGGCUGAGGCAUGAGAAUCACUUAAACCCGGGAGGCAGAGGGUGCAGUGAGCUGAGAUCGUGCCACUGUACUCCAGCCUAGGCAACAGAACGAGAUUCCGCCUCAAAAUAAAUAAAUAAAUAAAUAAACAAAUAAUGAACAGAUAAAGAGUGAGGCAGAGAGAAAAUAAACCAGUGGAACGCAUUGAAAAAGAUACUUUUGAGAGUACAUGGAGAACAGAUAAAAGACAUUAAAACUAAGUGUAUUAAUUAAAAAUAUGAAGUGAUAGGAGGCACUUUUACAACUAAUACAUUAGAAAAUUUUUUAUUUAAAUGGUCAACAUUUUGUAGACUAAUUAUAGUUUGCUCCCAUCCCAGAAUACAUCUUGGGAGUAGAUAACUUAUCAGGCCUGACCCCACAAACAACUGCAGGGGAAUUCUGACGGAGAGUUAGGUGGUGAACCCUGUGAUCAGAGAAUGCAAAAUGGACACCAGGACACUUUCCAGCCCUGCCGUGAGUAGAGGUGCUGAGCAAUACCACCUGCAAGGGUGGGGACAUGAUGAAAUCACAGAGACUAUAUGGGAGUUAGCCUGGGCAGGCACUAUAAGGCCAGUGCACAGCCCAUACAACAGCCCUGAAUGGCCCAUGCAGAAGCCUGAUGGGACACAAAGAAUAACAGUAGAUUACUAGGAAUUAAGUAAGGUGGUCCCCCCAGUGUAUGUGGCUGUUCUCAAUAUCACCUCUCUUGGGACAAGGGUAGGAGAAGCCAUGGGCAUAUACCAUUUGGCUAUUGAUAGCCAAUGCCUUCGGCAUCCCCCAUCGCCCUCAGAGAGUCAAGACCAAUUUGCAUUCACAUGGGAAGAAAAACAAUGGACUGUCUUGCCCAGGGAUACCACCCUGGAGGGGAUACAUGUUUUCCAUUAACUUUUAGGUCUUUUUCUGGCUUAUAAUCUGCACAGCCCCCACCUUACCCUCUCACUUGGCGAACAAAGGAUUGGCAGUCAACGCAUACAAAGACCAGAGGCCAGUGUGCCUUUAGGAUUCUGGUCCCAGCUGUGGAAGGGGGCUUCAGCUAGCUGGAGUGCCACAACUCUGGGCUAUGUAUGCUUUACAAUAAGUGGAGGACAUUACAAAGUGGGUCCUAGUGCUAGUACGCACCCAGUACCAAUAGCAGGUUGACUAAAGGGUACCUUCCGGAAGCUAAAGCCUGGGAAUGCCCAAACACAGACUGUAGCCAAAAGGCAUGCAUACCUCAACAAAGGAGCACAUUCAUUAAUAGCCCCUUGAGCACAGAGCUCCAUUUGGUGCUCAGUACUGUCACCUAUGUAACAUCUGAAAGACAGUCUUUGAAAGAGGCCGCUGAACCUCCACAGAUUUCCUCCUUUGUACAGGAGGGACAGGGCCCAAUUCUUGACCAGAUCUGGUACACAGAGAGCUUGCUAUGAGGCAAUCCUUGCACAUGGACAGCUGCAGCCAUCCAGCUGUCCACUGACAGGAUCUGGCUUGAUACAGGCCUAGGACUUAGUAACAAAUGGGCUAAGCUGAGAGCCACCUAGACGAUCCUCCUCUAUGAGCCGGACCCAAUAGUCUUGUGUACCAACAGCUGGGCCAUCUUUAAGGGACUUGCUAUGUGGCUACCACAAGGAGAAGCUCAGGAUUGGACAGUAGCAGGCUGCCUGCUUUGGGGUGCUGGCAUGUGGAAGGACAUUCUCUGUCACAUCCAGGGAAUGCAUGUAACAGUCUUCCAUGUGGAUGCCCACACUGCAUCUACGCCAUCUGGAAAUCAACAUGAGAACAAGCUAGCCUGCAUUCAUCUCUUCAAGGUAGUCCCCACAGACGUGGCCCACUGGCUGCCCAAAAAGACAGGACUUUGGGGACAGCAUUCCCUUUGGGCCACAGUGAAGAAUUAGGGCCUGCCACUAUGACAUAAAGACAUAGUACACCUCUGUCAGCAAUGUCCUACCCAUGCACAGGAAUGCCCUAGGCCCUUGCCACACAAUACUGGAGAGAUCCCCUGGGGCCAGAGUCCAGUACAAUGGUGGCAGGUAGACUACAUAGGGCAUUUGUUUCUAUCUAAUGGCUGCUACUAUACCUUGACUUAUGUGGACACCUGCACAGGGCUACCACAGUCAUAUCCCAGCAAGCAUGCUACCCAGAAAACUAUCAUAAAAGGACUAGAGUGGCUGUGUGUGGCCUAUGGUGUCCCCACCAAUAUCAAUAGUGACCAGGGCUUGCACUUUACCAGACAUAAAGUGUAGGAAUGGGUGGAGGCCCUGGAUAUCCACUGACAUUUCCACCUGCUGUACAUCCCUGCAGCCGUGGGGCUGAUUUAAAGGAUGAAUGGACUGUUGAAGCAACAACUCCAGCAGGAGACGCACUCUGGCUCUGUGGACACACCAUUUACCAGCAGUUGUCUGCACCCUGAAUGAACAUGGCGUUCUCAUCACCAGUGCCUAUGUCCUUCCGAUGCAAGAACGUGAUACCACUCUCAGGAUCCAGGUGGACAAGAUGGUGUGCAGCAGACCCUCUUUACCAACUGGGCACAGAUGGUGGCCUCUCUCCAGAACAAAACAGACUGUUGGGCCUGUGAAGAGCUGCCCCUCUCCUCCAUCAUAAGCCUGCUGUGGUGAAUCCAAAAUUAACUCCCAAGUUGGAUUAUUUUUUGUUUUAGUUUGCAUUGCUGCUGCAGCAGUCUGGCAGCGAUGCUUCUCCACAUUACCUGGCCCCAGGGAAAUCAUGGAAGAAUAGCGUGAUAAAAAUGUGAGAGCUGUUCCAGGGUAGCUGGGGUGGACUGUAUGGUAGAAGCACCUGAUAGCAGUACCUUAACUUAGCCAUAACCUGAGAAUGGCCCUGUAUGGCAGAGGCACCUGAAUGUGUGUUCAGAGUUCCAAGCUGAGGAAUCCAGGAGUGGCCAACCCAGGCAUUCAUUCCUUAUCUAUGAGGAACAUCUGAGCCCCUGGCCUGUCUAGUGAAACACAGGCCAUACAGGGGAUUGAGGCCCUUUGUUUUGGGUUAAGUGAAGGUUGCCAGGUGAAGAUGGUUAGGGGGAGGGUGCUUAGUGAAAAUGCUAUAUAAACUACAUGCUUUUUGCAAGUGGUUACAGUUCUCCUGCCCAGCCUGCUGCCUCUGGGCCGUAUGGUUCUCCAGCCCAGCACCCCCUCACUGGGCUGUGUGGUUCUCCUGUCCAGCCUGCCGCCACUGGCCCUCCCUCUUUGUAGGUUUCCUGCUAAUAAAGCCCUAUGUCCUG